AGAUUGAACGCUGGCGGCAUGCUUUACACAUGCAAGUCGAACGGUAACAGGCCGCAAGGUGCUGACGAGUGGCGAACGGGUGAGUAAUGCAUCGGAACGUGCCCAGUCGUGGGGGAUAACGCAGCGAAAGCUGCGCUAAUACCGCAUACGAUCUAUGGAUGAAAGCGGGGGGACCGUAAGGCCUCGCGCGAUUGGAGCGGCCGAUGUCAGAUUAGGUAGUUGGUGGGGUUAAAGGCUCACCAAGCCGACGAUCUGUAGCUGGUCUGAGAGGACGACCAGCCACACUGGGACUGAGACACGGCCCAGACUCCUACGGGAGGCAGCAGUGGGGAAUUUUGGACAAUGGGCGCAAGCCUGAUCCAGCAAUGCCGCGUGCAGGAAGAAGGCCUUCGGUUGUAACUGCUUUGUACGGUAACGAAACGGCUCUGGUUAAUACCUGGAGUUGAUGACGGUACCGUAAGAAUAAGCGACCGGCUAACUACGUGCCAGCA
RNAcentral lists this ribosomal RNA (491 nucleotides) under uncultured soil bacterium. RNAcentral describes it as "bacterial SSU rRNA". It matches the Rfam family "Bacterial small subunit ribosomal RNA", at positions 26 to 513 of the family's 1533-position model. The record is from RNAcentral.